UAUCCAUUGGACUGGAACUCCUGCUC
This 26-nucleotide non-coding RNA is filed under the name Mus musculus (house mouse). Lineage: Eukaryota; Metazoa; Chordata; Mammalia; Rodentia; Muridae. The record is from RNAcentral.